RNAcentral lists this ribosomal RNA (659 nucleotides) under Enterobacter hormaechei subsp. xiangfangensis. RNAcentral describes it as "bacterial SSU rRNA". It matches the Rfam family "Bacterial small subunit ribosomal RNA", at positions 816 to 1475 of the family's 1533-position model. Lineage: Bacteria; Pseudomonadati; Pseudomonadota; Gammaproteobacteria; Enterobacterales; Enterobacteriaceae. The record is from RNAcentral.
CUUGGAGGUUGUGCCCUUGAGGCGUGGCUUCCGGAGCUAACGCGUUAAGUCGACCGCCUGGGGAGUACGGCCGCAAGGUUAAAACUCAAAUGAAUUGCCGGGGGCCCGCACAAGCGGUGGAGCAUGUGGUUUAAUUCGAUGCAACGCGAAGAACCUUACCUACUCUUGACAUCCAGAGAACUUAGCAGAGAUGCUUUGGUGCCUUCGGGAACUCUGAGACAGGUGCUGCAUGGCUGUCGUCAGCUCGUGUUGUGAAAUGUUGGGUUAAGUCCCGCAACGAGCGCAACCCUUAUCCUUUGUUGCCAGCGGUUAGGCCGGGAACUCAAAGGAGACUGCCAGUGAUAAACUGGAGGAAGGUGGGGAUGACGUCAAGUCAUCAUGGCCCUUAGGAGUAGGGCUACACACGUGCUGCAAUGGCGCAUUCAAAGAGAAGCGACCUCGCGAGAGCAAGCGGACCUCAUAAAGUGCGUCGUAGUCCGGAUUGGAGUCUGCAACUCGACUCCAUGAAGUCGGAAUCGCUAGUAAUCGUGGAUCAGAACGCCACGGUGAAUACGUUCCCGGACCUUGUACACCCCGCCCGUCUCACCAUGGGAGUGGGUUGCAAAAGAAGUAGGUAGCUUAACCUUCGGGAGGCCGCUUCCCACUUCGUGAUUCAGGCC